RNAcentral lists this ribosomal RNA (479 nucleotides) under uncultured bacterium. RNAcentral describes it as "partial 16S ribosomal RNA". It matches the Rfam family "Bacterial small subunit ribosomal RNA", at positions 28 to 506 of the family's 1533-position model. The record is from RNAcentral.
GAUGAACGCUAGCGGCAGGCCUAACACAUGCAAGUCGAGGGGUAGAAGGAGCUUGCUCCUUUGAGACCGGCGCACGGGUGCGUAACGCGUAUGCAAUCUACCUUGUACAGGGGAAUAGCCCAGAGAAAUUUGGAUUAAUGCCCCAUAGUAUAUAACCUUCGCAUGUUGGUUAUAUUAAAGUUCCAACGGUACAAGAUGAGCAUGCGUCCCAUUAGUUAGUUGGUAAGGUAACGGCUUACCAAGACGAUGAUGGGUAGGGGUCCUGAGAGGGAGAUCCCCCACACUGGUACUGAGACACGGACCAGACUCCUACGGGAGGCAGCAGUGAGGAAUAUUGGUCAAUGGUCGCAAGACUGAACCAGCCAUGCCGCGUGCAGGAAGACGGUCCUAUGGAUUGUAAACUGCUUUUAUACAGGAAGAAACCCUCCCACGUGUGGGAGCUUGACGGUACUGUAGGAAUAAGGAUCGGCGAACUCCGU